This 245-nucleotide ribosomal RNA is filed under the name uncultured bacterium. RNAcentral's name for it is "partial 16S ribosomal RNA". It matches the Rfam family "Bacterial small subunit ribosomal RNA", at positions 15 to 238 of the family's 1533-position model. The record is from RNAcentral.
GAUCCUGGCUCAGGAUGAACGCUGGCGGCAUGCCUAAUACAUGCAAGUCGAACGAGAGGAAGGAAAGCUUGCUUUUCUGAAUCUAGUGGCGAACGGGUGAGUAACACGUAGGUAACCUGCCCAUGUGCCCGGGAUAACUUCUGGAAACGGAUGCUAAAACCGGAUAGGUAGCAGACAAGCAUUUGACCUGCUAAUUUAAAAGGUCGGUCCGUUCGGCCAUAGAACAGUGGAUCGGACCUGCGGUG